This 744-nucleotide ribosomal RNA is filed under the name uncultured bacterium. RNAcentral's name for it is "bacterial SSU rRNA". It matches the Rfam family "Bacterial small subunit ribosomal RNA", at positions 8 to 796 of the family's 1533-position model. The record is from RNAcentral.
AGAGUUUGAUCAUGGCUCAGAGCGAACGCUGGCGGCAGGCUUAACACAUGCAAGUCGAGCGGGCGUAGCAAUACGUCAGCGGCAGACGGGUGAGUAACGCGUGGGAACGUACCUUUUGGUUCGGAACAACCCAGGGAAACUUGGACUAAUACCGGAUAAGCCCUUACGGGGAAAGAUUUAUCGCCGAAAGAUCGGCCCGCGUCUGAUUAGCUAGUUGGUGAGGUAACGGCUCACCAAGGCGACGAUCAGUAGCUGGUCUGAGAGGAUGAUCAGCCACAUUGGGACUGAGACACGGCCCAAACUCCUACGGGAGGCAGCAGUGGGGAAUAUUGGACAAUGGGCGCAAGCCUGAUCCAGCCAUGCCGCGUGAGUGAUGAAGGCCCUAGGGUUGUAAAGCUCUUUUGUGCGGGAAGAUAAUGACGGUACCGCAAGAAUAAGCCCCGGCUAACUUCGUGCCAGCAGCCGCGGUAAUACGAAGGGGGCUAGCGUUGCUCGGAAUCACUGGGCGUAAAGGGUGCGUAGGCGGGUCUUUAAGUCAGGGGUGAAAUCCUGGAGCUCAACUCCAGAACUGCCUUUGAUACUGAAGAUCUUGAGUUCGGGAGAGGUGAGUGGAACUGCGAGUGUAGAGGUGAAAUUCGUAGAUAUUCGCAAGAACACCAGUGGCGAAGGCGGCUCACUGGCCCGAUACUGACGCUGAGGCACGAAAGCGUGGGGAGCAAACAGGAUUAGAUACCCCUGUAGUCC